CCUACGGGCGGCAGCAGUGGGGAAUAUUGGGCAAUGGACGCAAGUCUGACCCAGCAACGCCGCGUGAAGGAAGAAGGCUUUCGGGUUGUAAACUUCUUUUAAGGGGGAAGAGCAGAAGACGGUACCCUUUAAUUAGCCACGGCCAACCACGGUGCAGCAGCCGCGGUAAUACGUAGGUGGCAAGGGUUGUCCGGAUUUACUGGGUGUAAAGGGGCUUCAGCCGGAGAGACAAGUCAGAUGGGAAAGCCACGGGCUCAACCCGUGAACUGCAUUUGAAACUGUUUCCCUUGAGUGUCGGAGAGGUAAUCGGAAUUCGUUGUGUAGCGGUGAAAUGCGUAGAUAUAAGGAAGAACACCAGUGGCGAAGGCGGAUUACUGGACGAUAACUGACGGUGAGGCGCGAAAGCGUGGGGAGCAAACAGGAUUAGAUACCCGUGUAGUC
This 441-nucleotide ribosomal RNA is filed under the name uncultured bacterium. RNAcentral describes it as "partial 16S ribosomal RNA". It matches the Rfam family "Bacterial small subunit ribosomal RNA", at positions 338 to 795 of the family's 1533-position model. The record is from RNAcentral.